This 446-nucleotide ribosomal RNA is filed under the name uncultured bacterium. RNAcentral's name for it is "partial 16S ribosomal RNA". It matches the Rfam family "Bacterial small subunit ribosomal RNA", at positions 338 to 795 of the family's 1533-position model. The record is from RNAcentral.
CCUACGGGAGGCAGCAGUCGAGAAUCAUUCACAAUGGGGGAAACCCUGAUGCUGCGACGCCGCGUGGGGGAAUGAAGGUCUUCGGAUUGUAAACCCCUGUCAUGUGGGAGCAAAUUAAAAAGAUAGUACCACAAGAGGAAGAGACGGCUAACUCUGUGCCAGCAGCCGCGGUAAUACAGAGGUCUCAAGCGUUGAUCGGAAUCACUGGGCGUAAAGCGUGCGUAGGCGGGUUCGUAAGUCGUGUGUGAAAGGCGCGGGCUCAACCCGCGGACGGCACAUGAUACUGCGAGACUGGAGUAAGGGAGGGGGAACCGGAAUUCUCGGUGUAGCAGUGAAAUGCGUAGAUAUCGAGAGGAACACUCGUGGCGAAGGCGGGUUCCUGGACAUUAACUGACGCUGAGGCACGAAGGCCAGGGGAGCGAAAGGGAUUAGAUACCCUAGUAGUC